CCUCAGUACAAAUCAAGUAUCUAAAGGUACUGGAAACGAAAAGUUAUGCUCGUCAAGUAGCCAUGCCACUCAUAAAUAAGUUUUGCAACUAAUACCAUGAAGAUAUUUUUAGUCUUUAAUGUUUAGAAGAUGUACCUCAUAACAUUGAAGGAUAAAAUUCUUUAUCAUUUAUUCUUUACCAAAUCAUGACAUGCCAUCUCAGUAGAGCACAUGUUAACAAGGAGAAGAAGAAGGACAAAUAUCAAGUCAAUGUAAUCGACGCAGUGGAGGAAAACAAAGUAUUCGACCAUGGACCUACGACACGGAAUCAAUUUUUAUCCAUCUACUUAAUCAUCGGAACAUCCUGAAGAGUAAUAAUCCGGAAUAGUAAAGAGAGCGCCGUAAAGCCCCAAUCGGUUAAUUAUAAAGUACAUCAAAACACACCGGCAAGAAUAUAUUUUUAUAUGUGCAAAGGUCAUAAUGGACUGCACAUACGAACAUGAUCGAGCAAAAAACUACAAGGAUAAAAUAGUAAAACGUGGUUAAUCGUACAAAGUCCCCAUAAAUAACCCUAUCAAGCGUUACAGUAAGUGUUGGCAGGUGCCAAUACCUUUAAGAAUGUUGCAAACAUACAUGAACAACUGAAGUUAAAGUGUGAAAGUCAUAAAUUCAUAGCGUGCAGCCCACAUUUGUUUAAAUUGCUACCAACUGAAAUCUAAAUAUGAUAGAUGAAAUAUGGCGUCCACGAAGGUAGUAAUCAUACGGCUGCUUUCAAAAACUUUUUAUAGGACCGUGCGUGAACAGGUUCUUAUUGUAUGUAUUUGUAUUGCAUUUUCAUAUUCACUUUAAUCUUAAUGAUUACGCUUUCUCAAUCGUUGUAAAUAAAGAUGUUAUCUCGCCGAGGUUUCAAGUGGUAAUGUUUA
Anopheles arabiensis is the source of this 902-nucleotide long non-coding RNA. RefSeq lists it as uncharacterized. The transcript has 2 exons. The record is from RefSeq and is a predicted model, not a curated record. Lineage: Eukaryota; Metazoa; Arthropoda; Insecta; Diptera; Culicidae.